AACCUCCGCAAUGUGAGAAAUCGCGACGGGGGGAUUCCAAGUGCCAUUCUUAACGGGAUGGCUUUUCAUUAGUGUAAAGAGCUUUUGGAAUAAGAGCUGGGCAAGACCGGUGCCAGCCGCCGCGGUAACACCGGCAGCUCUAGUGGUAGCAAUUUUUAUUGGGCCUAAAGCGUCCGUAGCCGGUUUAAUAAGUCUCUGGUGAAAUCCUGCAGCUUAACUGUGGGAAUUGCUGGAGAUACUAUUAGACUUGAGAUCGGGAGAGGUUAGAGGUACUCCCAGGGUAGAGGUGAAAUUCUGUAAUCCUGGGAGGACCGCCUGUUGCGAAGGCGUCUAACUGGAACGGUUCUGACGGUGAGGGACGAAAGUUAGGGGCGCGAACCGGAUUAGAUACCCGGGUAGUCCUAACUGUAAACGAUGCGGACUUGGUGUUGGGGUGGCUUUGAGCUGCCUCAGUGCCGAAGGGAAGCUGUUAAGUCCGCCGCCUGGGAAGUACGGUCGCAAGACUAAAACUUAAAGGAAGU
This 521-nucleotide ribosomal RNA is filed under the name uncultured bacterium. RNAcentral describes it as "bacterial SSU rRNA". It matches the Rfam family "Archaeal small subunit ribosomal RNA", at positions 345 to 866 of the family's 1478-position model. The record is from RNAcentral.